GAUGAACGCUGGCGGCGUGCCUAAUACAUGCAAGUCGAGCGAACGGACCUGCAGUUUGCUUUUCUGAUGUUAGCGGCGGACGGGUGAGUAACACGUGGCUCACCUACCUUUUAGCCUGGGCUAACUUCUAGAACUCGGAACUUAUACCGGAUAAUAUUUUGAACCGCAUGGUUCUACCGUGAAUGACGGUCUUGCUUCUACUUAUAGAUGAUUCCGCGCUGCAUUAGCUACUUGGUAAGGUAAGGGCAUACUAAGGCAACGAUGCAUAGCAGACCUGGGAGGGUGAUCGGGCACACUGGAACUGGGACACGGUCCAGGCCCCGACGGGAAGGAGCAGUAGGGGAGCGGCCGAAAGGGGCGAAAGCGGGACGGAGCAACAGCGCGUGAGUGAUGAAGGUCUUGGGAUCGGAAAAGUCUGUUAUUAGGGAAGAACAUAAGGGUAAGUAGCUGGGCACAUCGUGACGGUACCUGAACAGAAAGCAACGGCUAACUACGUG
Molecule: ribosomal RNA, 497 nt
Filed under: uncultured bacterium
Lineage: Bacteria
Description: partial 16S ribosomal RNA
Rfam family: Bacterial small subunit ribosomal RNA
Source: RNAcentral